This 253-nucleotide ribosomal RNA is filed under the name uncultured bacterium. RNAcentral's name for it is "partial 16S ribosomal RNA". It matches the Rfam family "Bacterial small subunit ribosomal RNA", at positions 524 to 776 of the family's 1533-position model. The record is from RNAcentral.
UACGUAGGGUGCAAGCGUUGUCCGGAAUUAUUGGGCGUAAAGAGCUCGUAGGCGGUCUGUCGCGUCUGCUGUGAAAACUCGGGGCUUAACCCCGGGCCUGCAGUGGGUACGGGCAGACUAGAGUGCGGUAGGGGAGACUGGAAUUCCUGGUGUAGCGGUGAAAUGCGUAGAUAUCGAGAGGAACACCUGCGGCGAAGGCGGGUUGCUGGGCUGAUACUGACGCUGAGGCGCGAAAGCCAGGGGAGCGAACGGG